UGCAUUAAAUAUUUACAAGGGUGACCCCAACAAAAAUGGCGCUACUGCUGCUGCCGCGAAGACACCC
Molecule: non-coding RNA, 67 nt
Filed under: Aulacoseira subarctica
Lineage: Eukaryota; Bacillariophyta; Melosirophyceae; Melosirales; Aulacoseiraceae
Source: RNAcentral